Molecule: unclassified non-coding RNA, 311 nt
Filed under: plant metagenome
Description: partial contains 5.8S ribosomal RNA, internal transcribed spacer 2, and large subunit ribosomal RNA
Rfam family: 5.8S ribosomal RNA (bases 1-105)
Source: RNAcentral
GAAACGCGAUAGUUAAUGUGAAUUGCAGAAUUCAGUGAAUCAUCGAAUCUUUGAACGCACAUUGCGCCCUCUGGCAUUCCCGGGGGCAUGCCUGUCCGAGCGUCAUUACGCACCCUCAAGCCCGGCUUGUGUGAUGGGCCCCGGCGUCUCGUUCGCGAGACGGGCCCGAAAGGCAGCGGCGGCGUCGACCCAUGAGCCCGAGCGUAUGGGGACUUCUGUCACACGUUCGCGGUGCGGACCGGCGCCUGCUUGACUUUUCUGAUUAUCCAGGUUGACCUCGGAUCAGGUAGGGAUACCCGCUGAACUUAAGC